RNAcentral lists this ribosomal RNA (916 nucleotides) under Hermatomyces biconisporus. Its description in RNAcentral is "SSU rRNA". It matches the Rfam family "Eukaryotic small subunit ribosomal RNA", at positions 88 to 1012 of the family's 1831-position model. The record is from RNAcentral. Lineage: Eukaryota; Fungi; Ascomycota; Dothideomycetes; Pleosporales; Hermatomycetaceae.
UGCGAAUGGCUCAUUAAAUCAGUUAUCGUUUAUUUGAUAGUACCUUACUACUUGGAUAACCGUGGUAAUUCUAGAGCUAAUACAUGCUAAAAACCCCGACUUCGGGAGGGGUGUAUUUAUUAGAUAAAAAACCAAUGCCCUUCGGGGCUCUUUGGUGAUUCAUGAUAACUUAACGGAUCGCAUGGCCUUGCGCCGGCGACGGUUCAUUCAAAUUUCUGCCCUAUCAACUUUCGAUGGUAAGGUAUUGGCUUACCAUGGUUUCAACGGGUAACGGGGAAUUAGGGUUCGAUUCCGGAGAGGGAGCCUGAGAAACGGCUACCACAUCCAAGGAAGGCAGCAGGCGCGCAAAUUACCCAAUCCCGACUCGGGGAGGUAGUGACAAUAAAUACUGAUACAGGGCUCUUUUGGGUCUUGUAAUCGGAAUGAGUACAAUUUAAACCCCUUAACGAGGAACAAUUGGAGGGCAAGUCUGGUGCCAGCAGCCGCGGUAAUUCCAGCUCCAAUAGCGUAUAUUAAAGUUGUUGCAGUUAAAAAGCUCGUAGUUGAACCUUGGGCCUGGCUGGCCGGUCCGCCUCACCGCGUGUACUGGUCCGGCCGGGCCUUUCCUUCUGGAGAGCCGCAUGCCCUUCACUGGGUGUGUUGGGGAACCAGGACUUUUACUUUGAAAAAAUUAGAGUGUUCAAAGCAGGCCUUUGCUCGAAUACGUUAGCAUGGAAUAAUAGAAUAGGACGUGCGGUCCUAUUUUGUUGGUUUCUAGGACCGCCGUAAUGAUUAAUAGGGAUAGUCGGGGGCAUCAGUAUUCAAUUGUCAGAGGUGAAAUUCUUGGAUUUAUUGAAGACUAACUACUGCGAAAGCAUUUGCCAAGGAUGUUUUCAUUAAUCAGUGAACGAAAGUUAGGGGAUCGAAGACGAUCAGA